CUAGUAUGAUGAGUGAAAAUGGUGACAUGUUGCUAUCUAGGUGGGAAAAACACUUGGCAGAUGAGGGAAAUAUUGAAAAAAAGUCUGAUCUUGAGAUGUACUUGAUGGAUGAUGUGGUGCAGACAAGUUUAUUUAAUCAUUAGAAUGGUUCUUUGUUUGAGGAUUCUAAUGAUAAUAUUAGAGGUGAUACUAGUAUGAUGAGUGAAAAUGGUGACCUGUUGCUAUCUAGGUUGGAAAAACACUUGGCAGAUGAGGGAAAUAUUGAAAAAAAGUCUAAUCUUGAGAUAUACUUGAUGGAUGAUGUGGUGCAGACAAAGGAUUUUAAUAUCUUGAGUUGGUGGAAAGCUUCAUCUAUUAAAUAUCCAGUUGUUUCAAAAAUUGCAAGGGAUGUUCUUUCUAUUCCUAUUUCUACUGUUGCGUCUGAGUCGGCUUUUAGUACAGGUGGUCGAAUUCUUGAUUCAUAUCGGAGUUCUUUAUCACCAAAAA
RNAcentral lists this long non-coding RNA (486 nucleotides) under Nicotiana benthamiana. RNAcentral's name for it is "long non-coding RNA (NBEN_LNC031065)". The record is from RNAcentral. Lineage: Eukaryota; Viridiplantae; Streptophyta; Magnoliopsida; Solanales; Solanaceae.